GACGAACGCUGGCGGCGUGCUUAACACAUGCAAGUCGAACGGUGAAGCGCCUUCCUUUUUGGUGGGUGUGGAUGAGUGGCGAACGGGUGAGUAACACGUGAGUAACCUGCCCCCUUCUUCUGGAUAACCGCAUGAAAGUGUGGCUAAUACGGGAUAUUCUGGGUCUGUCGCAUGAUGGGUCUGGGAAAGAUAUUGUUUCGGUGGGGGAUGGGCUCGCGGCCUAUCAGCUUGUUGGUGGGGUGAUGGCCUACCAAGGCGGUGACGGGUAGCGGGCCUGAGAGGGGGACGGUCACCAUGGGGACGAGGACACGGCCAGACUCCCAAGGGAGGGAGGCGGGGGGAAUAAUGGACCAUGGGCGCAAGCCUGAUGCAGCGACGCCGCGUGAGGGAGGGAGGCCUUCGGGUUGUGAACCUCUUUCGCCAGUGAAGCAGGCCUGCCUCGUUUGUGGGUGGGUUGACGGUAGCUGGAUAAGAAGCGCCGGCUAACUACGUG
Molecule: ribosomal RNA, 493 nt
Filed under: uncultured bacterium
Lineage: Bacteria
Description: partial 16S ribosomal RNA
Rfam family: Bacterial small subunit ribosomal RNA
Source: RNAcentral